This 468-nucleotide ribosomal RNA is filed under the name uncultured bacterium. Its description in RNAcentral is "partial 16S ribosomal RNA". It matches the Rfam family "Bacterial small subunit ribosomal RNA", at positions 28 to 507 of the family's 1533-position model. The record is from RNAcentral.
GACGAACGCUGGCGGCGUGCUUAACACAUGCAAGUCGAACGGAAAGGCCCUGCUUUUGUGUGGUGCUCGAGUGGCGAACGGGUGAGUAACACGUGAGUAACCUGCCCUUGUCUUUGGGAUAACUUCAGGAAACUGGGGCUAAUACCGGAUAUGAUCUCCUGCUGCAUGGUGGGGGUUGGAAAGUUUCGGCGGUUGGGGAUGGACUCGCGGCUUAUCAGCUUGUUGGUGGGGUAGUGGCUUACCAAGGCUUUGAGGGGUAGCCGGCCUGAGAGGGUUAACGGCGACAUUAGGCCUGAGAGAGGGCGCAGAAUCGUACGGGAGGCAGGGGUGGGGAGGAUGACACAAUAGGGGGGAGCCAGAGGCGGAAAUGCCGCGUGCGGGAAGACGGGUUACGGGUUGAAAACCGAUUUCGACUGUGACGAAGCGUGAGUGACGGUAAUGGGUAAAGAAGCACCGGCUAACUACGUG